Alligator sinensis (Chinese alligator) is the source of this 330-nucleotide long non-coding RNA. RefSeq lists it as uncharacterized. The record is from RefSeq and is a predicted model, not a curated record. Lineage: Eukaryota; Metazoa; Chordata; Crocodylia; Alligatoridae. The transcript is spliced from 3 exons.
UAGACUUCUGCGUAAUGUCAGGGCCUUGUUACACCUUAUGCUGGGAGCUGCACAAGUGUUGAUUCGUGUCAGUACUAGCUCAAGUUAGGAACAGCAAGCAGGGACCUGGAGAACUGAAAGGAGGGACCGCAGGAGGUCAUCAAGUCCAACCGCUUGAUCAAGAAAUGUACCACAGAGGAUAACUGCCCCUGUGUCACAGCAUUUGUUCACAGCCUUCCCCACCAGAUGACAUGGGGGAAGUGACUGGAUACUCUAGUAUCAGGUGUUCUGUUCCAGUAUUUCUCUGAUGUACCACUCUGACUUUUAUAAUCCAUUUGAGCAUCACUCUUC